This 1097-nucleotide long non-coding RNA is filed under the name Patiria miniata (bat star). Its description in RNAcentral is "uncharacterized LOC119721753". Lineage: Eukaryota; Metazoa; Echinodermata; Asteroidea; Valvatida; Asterinidae. The record is from RNAcentral.
UUGACAGUUCAACAUGCAGAACUUCAAUAAAACAAUAGUCCUGAUAUUUGGGUUUCGUGUUUUUGACUCGCCCAGUAUUUCGUUUCUGUACUUGCUGUGCCGUAAGGCCUGCUGUUAUGGUUAUUCACAUUAAUCUAGUCAGUCAUGACAAUGUGAAUAUCCUAAGAUGUAAUAUUGUACUUGAUCCUCUGACAUGUCUGAUGACCAUUUAAAAUGUAGAGUAGUUCAUGUUUGAUGACAGCAUGUAUAUAUAUUUUCUGUUCCUGAUAGACUGUGUUUGGGGCCAUUCAAUGAGGAAGAAUCAGGGCACUGUCGUAUAGAACUCCUAUAUAGCUCCUACAGGGAAUUAUUAAGGUUUCUUUUGGAAGAACACUAGCUACGCUAGGAAUGUUGUAUCAGCCUUUGGUCAACUGUACUGGAAGUUAAUUAAUGAUUUUCUUCAACAUACAUCCGACAUGCUCUUUCAUUUGACAGCCCUUUGAGUAAUCACAUAUUUGUUUUCCUGUUUUUGUUGUUAAAAAUAACAUCACAUGUAUAAUGAUAACUUGUGUUUUAUGUAUAUGCUUUCAAUUUGCUUCAAGAACUACUGCAAUUUCUUUUCUAAACAUAGUUAAUCCUCUUUAAGCAUUAAUACUUUUUGCAUGUUUUCCUAAAAUAUGACUUUGUAUUGUAUUCCUUGAUUUUUUUAUGCUCUAAAUCAUUUGGCAGGCUCCAUAAACAUUAUUAUAACUGUGUCCAUGAACAUAAACGACCAUUAAAAUGAUGCAUACAUUGGAGACGUAAUCUUAUCAAUCCCCCAUUUUAUGUAUACAAAUACCCUGGCCAAUACUGCUGGCACUUUCAAUGAAUUCAGGUUAAAGGGUAUACAUCAAAUACAAUACUAAACUGACCUUUUUUAUUUUUAAUUUCUAAAAUAUUUUUGGGAAAGAUACCACAAUGAAGCCAAUGUGUUUAUGAAAUGCUUGUUUUUCUAGUCAAAGGAUAUAUGUUGAUAAAAAAAAAAAAUUCAAAUUUUAAAAGAAUUUAUCAUCCAGUGUUUAAAUUUUUUUUUUUACAGAAGAUGAAUAAACUAGCAUUCAUGUGUACAUCACCUCAAA